UACGUAGGGGCCUAGCGUUGUCCGGAAUUAUUGGGCGUAAAGAGCUCGUAGGCGGUUCGGCAAGUCGGAUGUGAAAUCCCGAGGCUCAACCUCGGGUCUGCAGUCGAUACGAGCAAACUAGAGUGUUGCAGGGGAGACUGGAAUUCCUGGUGUAGCGGUGAAAUGCGCAGAUAUCAGGAGGAACACCGGUGGCGAAGGCGGGUCUCUGGGCAACAACUGACGCUGAGGAGCGAAAGCGUGGGGAGCGAACAGG
RNAcentral lists this ribosomal RNA (253 nucleotides) under uncultured bacterium. Its description in RNAcentral is "partial 16S ribosomal RNA". It matches the Rfam family "Bacterial small subunit ribosomal RNA", at positions 524 to 776 of the family's 1533-position model. The record is from RNAcentral.